GACGAACGCUGGCGGCGUGCUUAACACAUGCAAGUCGAACGGAAAGGCCCUGCUUUUGUGGGGUGCUCGAGUGGCGAACGGGUGAGUAACACGUGAGUACCCUGCACUUGACUUUGGGAUAACUUCAGGCAACUGGGGCUAAUACCGGAUAGGAGUUCCUGCUGCAUGGUGGGGGUUGGAUAGUUUCGGCGGUUGGUGAUGGACUCGCGGCUUAUCAGCUUGUUGGUGGGGUAGUGGCUUACCAAGGCUUUGACGGGUAGCCGGCCUGGGAGGGUGACCGGCCACAUUGGGACUGAGAUACGGCCCAGACUCCUACGGGAGGCAGCAGUGGGGAAUAUUGCACAAUGGGCGGAAGCCUGAUGCAGCAACGCCGCGUGCGGGAUGACGGCCUUCGGGUUGUAAACCGCUUUCGCCUGUGACGAAGCGUGAGUGACGGUAAUGGGUAAAGAAGCACCGGCUAACUACGUG
This 468-nucleotide ribosomal RNA is filed under the name uncultured bacterium. RNAcentral describes it as "partial 16S ribosomal RNA". It matches the Rfam family "Bacterial small subunit ribosomal RNA", at positions 28 to 507 of the family's 1533-position model. The record is from RNAcentral.